This 88-nucleotide transfer RNA is filed under the name Holosporaceae bacterium. RNAcentral describes it as "tRNA-Leu". It matches the Rfam family "tRNA". Rfam says of the family: Transfer RNA (tRNA) molecules are approximately 80 nucleotides in length. Their secondary structure includes four short double-helical elements and three loops (D, anti-codon, and T loops). Lineage: Bacteria; Pseudomonadati; Pseudomonadota; Alphaproteobacteria; Holosporales; Holosporaceae. The record is from RNAcentral.
GCCCGGAUGGCGGAAUUGGUAGACGCGCUAGGUUCAGGUCCUAGUCCAUGUAAAUUGGGUGGAAGUUCGAGUCUUCUUUCGGGCACCA